Paramuricea clavata is the source of this 239-nucleotide non-coding RNA. NCBI's taxonomy places the organism in Eukaryota, Metazoa, Cnidaria, Anthozoa, Malacalcyonacea, Plexauridae. The record is from the annotation of a GenBank genome assembly.
GUUUUGAAAAAUUAUUGUCAAAUGGAAAGGGGGGAAAGACAGUAACCCUAGACUCAAAGUAUACACACUUUAUACAUGUUAUGAAAUUUUCUUAUAUUAUAUACAAAACUUUCCAUACCAAUACGUCCACUAUGAUAUUGUUUGUUGUUUACGCGAAUUAGGAUAAGGGCGUUGACCAAUGAGUGCUUCGAUGUCUUCAUAGGUUAAGACUUCGUGUUUGAGUAAGGCUUCUGCAACCU